This 253-nucleotide ribosomal RNA is filed under the name uncultured bacterium. RNAcentral describes it as "partial 16S ribosomal RNA". It matches the Rfam family "Bacterial small subunit ribosomal RNA", at positions 524 to 776 of the family's 1533-position model. The record is from RNAcentral.
UACAGAGGGGGCCAGCGUUAUUCGGAAUUAUUGGGCGUAAAGGGCGCGUAGGCGGCCACGCGUGUCUUCCGUGAAAUCCCUCGGCUCAACCGAGGACGUGCGGAAGAAACUGCGAGGCUCGAGUCCAGAAGAGGGGGGCGGAAUUCCCAGUGUAGCGGUGAAAUGCGCAGAUAUCAGGAAGAACACCAAUGGCGAAAGCAGCUCUCUGGGACGGUACUGACGCUGAGACGCGAAAGCGUGGGGAGCGAACAGG